This 399-nucleotide ribosomal RNA is filed under the name uncultured Anaerococcus sp. Its description in RNAcentral is "bacterial SSU rRNA". It matches the Rfam family "Bacterial small subunit ribosomal RNA", at positions 356 to 774 of the family's 1533-position model. Lineage: Bacteria; Bacillati; Bacillota; Tissierellia; Tissierellales; Peptoniphilaceae. The record is from RNAcentral.
GGGGAAUUUUGCACAAUGGGGGAAACCCUGAUGCAGCGACGCCGCGUGAUUUAGAAGGCCUUCGGGUUGUAAAAAUCUUUUGUACAGGAAGAAAAUGACGGUACUGUACGAAUAAGGUCCGGCUAAUUACGUGCCAGCAGCCGCGGUAAUACGUAAGGACCGAGCGUUGUCCGGAAUCAUUGGGCGUAAAGGGUACGUAGGCGGACUAAUAAGUUAGAAGUUAAAGGCUAUAGCUCAACUAUAGUAAGCUUUUAAAACUGUUAGCCUUGAGUGCAGGAGAGGAGAGUGGAAUUCCUAGUGUAGGGGUGAAAUGCGUAGAGAUUAGGAGGAAUACCAGUGGCGAAGGUGACUUUCUGGCAAUCAUCAGACGCUGAGGUACGAAAGCGUGGGUAGCAAACA